UGAAGGAAGAGCCCAAGGAGAUUGGCCUGGUGGUCAGCUAAAUCUGCUCCUGCAAAAGCAGCAGGAAAGGACAAAUCUUCAGACAAAAAAGUUCAAAAAAAGGGAAAAGGGGAACAAAGGGAAAACAGGCCAAAGUGGCUAAUCAAGAAAUUAAAGAAGAUUUACGUGCAGAAAAUGGAAAGACUAAAAACGAGGCAUGUCCAGCCUUUGAUGAAGCCAGAGAGAAAGAAGCCAAGUCUGAUUAA
This 245-nucleotide long non-coding RNA is filed under the name Homo sapiens (human). RNAcentral describes it as "non-protein coding lnc-PSTPIP1-3:1". The record is from RNAcentral. Lineage: Eukaryota; Metazoa; Chordata; Mammalia; Primates; Hominidae.